Molecule: non-coding RNA, 1327 nt
Organism: Danio rerio (zebrafish)
Lineage: Eukaryota; Metazoa; Chordata; Actinopteri; Cypriniformes; Danionidae
Source: RefSeq, a predicted model, not a curated record
UAUUAAAAACAUGAGUUAAAAAGAGAGAUUUGUAAAGGGUGUACUUAUAUAUGCUGAGCACUGCAUACAUAUAAAAUGGUUACAUACAUCAGUGCCUAAUCAUCCAACAAUAGCACUUGUUUUUAAAACAAACAAACAAACAAACAAGCACAAAUCUAAUAAACAAAGAGACUCACAGCAUCUACACAUUGUUAGACACGUGAUUUUCUGUAUUUUAGAGUGAGUCUUGCUUGAUAAAAGUCUGCAUAUGAAUAAAUGUAAAUAAAAAAUGAAUAAAUGUACAAGAAUAAGUGUAAGUGAAUAAAUGUAAAUGAUUAAAAUGUAAAAGUAAGAAAUGUAGACAUUCGUCUAGACUUUUGUUCUCUUAAUAUAACAUACACACAUACAUAUGUCUUAUGAUGCACAACUAUAGGUUUAGUAAUAGCCAAAAGUAAAACCUGUUGACUUUUCUUAUGACAAAAGUCGUUUGAAUAUUAAGUAAAGAUCAGGUUCUGUGAAGAAAUUUAGCAAAAUUCACUGUAAAUAUAUGGAAGCUCAAAUUGUGAAGUGAGCCGCCUCGUCAGUGAUGGCUUUACCCAUUGUAACAGAAUGAAAUUUCUGUCACUUUUUUUUAUCCUUAGAAUAAUGGAAAUAAAAAAUGCUGUUUAAAUGGAACUACAGGGCACUAGAGGGCGCUGGUCAAACACCUGGAAUGUAUAAUAGGUGAGUGGGUGAAUGAAGAAGUAGAUUCAAUUGUGGUAGAGGGAAGACGUGGUUCCUUGGAGCUGCUUCAAACUGUUUGUAUAGUGAAGUCCUAGAAGUGAACCCUUGCGUUUAAAGCUCAGCCUAUGAUCAGAUCAUCCAAACACCCUCAUGAGAGACGAACAAACAAAUAAUCCUGCUUCAGUCGUAAGAUUUAAAGUGAUUUACUGCACUGUUGGAUUAUUAUUAUUAUUAUUGGAGUUUUCAGGGAUGCUCAUUCUGACUUCAAUGUGAACACUAUGUAAUGCGUCUCCAUUACCUUCUUCUGUCCAUUUCACACUCCUGAUCUCAUCUGUGUACGCCGGAGCAGGAUUUACAAAGAUUUUGCCAAUGAUGUCCUUAAUGUCCUCAAUGUUUUCCUCAGUGCGCUCAAUGUUCAUAAUGUUCAUAGUGUUCCCAGUAGUUUCGUUCUCAUUAAUGUUCUCAAUGUUCCUAUUGUUCUCAUCUUUUUCAUUCUUAUUAAUGUUCUCAAUGUGAAUUCUGUAUUUUUGUUUUAGAAAGUCAUGCAGUUCUUCGUUACUCAUCUUCCAAUCUUUAAGAUCAUGUUUUACUUUAGUUUUGUCAUUAUAAACCAGAUAGCACAUGG